RNAcentral lists this ribosomal RNA (497 nucleotides) under uncultured bacterium. Its description in RNAcentral is "bacterial SSU rRNA". It matches the Rfam family "Bacterial small subunit ribosomal RNA", at positions 21 to 518 of the family's 1533-position model. The record is from RNAcentral.
GGCUCAGGAUGAACGCUGGCGGCGUGCUUAACACAUGCAAGUCGAACGAAGCAGUUAUUAUGAUCCCUCGGGGUGACGAUUACUGACUGAGUGGCGGACGGGUGAGUAACGCGUGGGUAACCUGCCUUGUACAGGGGGACAACAGUUGGAAACGACUGCUAAUACCGCAUAAGCGCACAGCUUCGCAUGAAGCAGUGUGAAAAGUAUUUUCGGUACAAGAUGGACCCGCGUCUGAUUAGCUAGUUGGUGAGGUAACGGCCCACCAAGGCGACGAUCAGUAGCCGACCUGAGAGGGUGACCGGCCACAUUGGGACUGAGACACGGCCCAAACUCCUACGGGAGGCAGCAGUGGGGAAUAUUGCACAAUGGGCGAAAGCCUGAUGCAGCGAACCGCCGCGUGAGCGAAGAAGUAUUUCGGUAUGUAAAGCUCUAUCAGCAGGGAAGAUAAUGACGGUACCUGACUAAGAAGCACCGGCUAAAUACGUGCCAGCCGCAGC